Mycena leptocephala is the source of this 98-nucleotide non-coding RNA. NCBI's taxonomy places the organism in Eukaryota, Fungi, Basidiomycota, Agaricomycetes, Agaricales, Mycenaceae. The record is from the annotation of a GenBank genome assembly.
GGCAGUAUGGUGUAAUGAUGCACACAGGGUUCUCUUACCAUGUUUGAAGAUGAGAAUAAUAUAUUCCCGAAGUCCUUGUUCGAAUCAAGGUACUGCUA